This 497-nucleotide ribosomal RNA is filed under the name uncultured bacterium. Its description in RNAcentral is "partial 16S ribosomal RNA". It matches the Rfam family "Bacterial small subunit ribosomal RNA", at positions 28 to 507 of the family's 1533-position model. The record is from RNAcentral.
GAUGAACGCUGGCGGCGUGCCUAAUACAUGCAAGUCGAGCGAACGGACGAGAAGCUUGCUUCUCUGAUGUUAGCGGCGGACGGGUGAGUAACACGUGGAUAACCUACCUAUAAGACUGGGAUAACUUCGGGAAACCGUAGCUAAUACCGGAUAAUAUUUUGAACCGCAUGGUUCAAAAGUGAAAGACGUUCUUGCUGUCACUUAUAGAUGGAUCCGCGCUGCAUUAGCUAGUUGGUAAGGUAACGGCUUACCAAGGCAACGAUGCAUAGCCGACCUGAGAGGGUGAUCAGCCACACUGGAACUGAGACACGGUCCAGACUCCUACGGGAGGCAGCAGUAGGGAAUCUUCCGCAAUGGGCGAAAGCCUGACGGAGCAACGCCGCGUGAGUGAUGAAGGUCUUCGGAUCGUAAAACUCUGUUAUUAGGGAAGAACAUAUGUGUAAGUAACUGUGCACAUCUUGACGGUACCUAAUCAGAAAGCCACGGCUAACUACGUG